Molecule: long non-coding RNA, 8350 nt
Filed under: Vitis vinifera (wine grape)
Lineage: Eukaryota; Viridiplantae; Streptophyta; Magnoliopsida; Vitales; Vitaceae
Description: long non-coding RNA (VVIN_LNC005204)
Source: RNAcentral
ACCAUUGGAUGGCUUGAAUGGUGGGUUGGGCUUUUCGAUGAGCAUGGUCUUCUGCUCAAUCGGCUCAGGAGUGGAUUUUACGUGGGCAGAAGGCAGAGUUAGGGCAGAUGGGGGAGGAGAAGGUGGUUUGAUUUUCUCAGAGGGAGGUGUGGUUUUCUGACUCGCAUAAGAUGGAACCGAUGAAACAUUUCCAACCUGGAAAGGUGGCGCUGCAGUAGCAGCAGUCUGUGGUUGUGGUGGCAGCUGUUGAGGCUGGGUUGAAGACUUAAGUGCUUGACCAAAUGUAGGUCGAAAAAUAGGACGAGGGACAGGAGGUUGAGGUUGAGGUUGAGCCUGAGGCUGAGCCUCGGGCGCUGGGGGUGGGGCUACUGGCCUCAGGGAACCCAGAAUGAGCCAUUGGCGAGAUGGGAGGGGCUGGUUUGCCAUGAUCCAACAGAAUUAAUCUGAAGCAAGUCGCCUAAGGAACCCAAAUGCUCAACCUGAACAAGAGACCAAGGAAUGGGCACAGAAAAUAAGUUUCAAGAACUCGGUAUUUAUAAGUCCAACACCCAGAAAAAGAGAAAAAGCAGAACACAUAAAAUUCUAAUACUAGUGCUCAAAACGCAUAAACAACUAUAUGCAGAUAGAAGGGUAUCGUACGGAAUGUUCUCUUGAGAUUGACCAUACCAUGAAAGUACAUCUGCUUCCUAAGCCAGUCUAGAAGCAGGGAAUUCCCUGUAGGAGUUGACUCAGCGAUCAUGACACAUUGCCCUCGUUACUCUUUUUGAGCCAUCAACACAUGACGCGGGAAUGAGAAGCUUCUUUGGAAUUUGCGUGCCCAAAAGUGAUGAUGUUUCAAAUGUCGCGAAGAGGCAUUCAGGGUAUUUCAUUUCUAUCCUCUGUAGAGUAAGGGAAAAUAUUAGAUUGGGAGUUUUUUUUUUUUUUUUUUCUUUUCUAGAAGUCAUUUUGUUCUUUCCUCCUUGUGUUUUGCAGAAAACAUGUCGGGAUGCAGAAUAAUAGAAUGGAUGUUAUAGGAUCUGAUCGGGUUGUCCAAAUUCGUGAUCAGAGUCAUAGUAGAAUGUUGGAUGAGAUAUUAAUAGAUACAUCAGUAAUUCAACUUUAUUAAUAUAUCAGGAUAUAUUAAAAAAUAUUAGUAGAUAUUUUAACUUAAAAUAUCGAUAAUAUAAAAAUUAAUGAAAAUUAUAAAAAUAUUAAAAACAACUCUAAAAGAUUAUAUAAGAAGUAAAAAUAAACAUUUUUUUGGCAAAAAUUGAUAUAUGUAAUUUGUCAUAUUUAAUGAUAAUAGCGUUUAUGUUGAUAAAAAAUAUAAAUUUUAUAAAUUUAUAUUUAUUAUUAAGUUACAUUAUAUAUUAUUUUAUAAUAAUAUUAUGAUAAUAUGGAUAAUUUUAAAAUAUAUUUACUAUUAAAAUUAUAAUUUUUUGAUUUUAAGAUCGGGAGGAAUUAUUAAGUAAAAAUAAUUCUUUAAUUACAUCAUGUUCUUGAAUUAUUUUAUUAUUUGUCAUAUUUUACUUGUAACUAUUUACAUCCUACGUAGAUAUUAUCUACUUUUAAUCCAAAAAAACCUUUACAACUUUAAAAUGCAUUCAUAUCGUUAAGAGGAGAAAAUAGACACCCUUUAUGGGGCUAAACAAAUCCCUACUCAGAAUCAAGGAUUGGUUUUGAUAGCAUUUAUAAUAAUCUACACUUAAUUGUAUAAAUAUUGUCUACUUUGAAUCCAAAAGAGUUUUCAUAGUUUUAAAAUAUGUCUUCAUAUAAGUUAAAAGGAACUCAUAUUUAUAUACCACAAAAAAUUUUCUCUUAUAUUCAAUAUGAGAUAUCAUAUUACUUUCUCAUGAGUUUGUUCUUUGAGUGUGCAGAUAUUACAAAAGUUGAAAUUCAUUACAUAAGGAAAGCUUUAUUUUGGUUUGAGUCAAGUUUUUUUUUUUUAGAGUUAUGAAAGGCCUUGUUGUAACUAUUUAUUUUGUCAUAAUAUUGCUAAAGGGGAUAUUGUUGAUAUAUCAGGGUUAGGUGAUAAUUUUAUUUCAUUUCUUACUAAUUAUAUACUAUAUACUUUUGUGGGUCUUAUCGUUAUCAAUUUAACUUAAGAUUUUAUCAAACUUGACUUGUACAUAUUCAAAAUCACCAAUGUUGACAUAAGUAGGCAUUUAUGUUUAAUAAAGAUUAUAGAAUGGCUAACACAUGAAAAUGAGAUAGAAAUUUCAACUGCAAAAUAAAAAAGUUAAUAAUGGUCGGGACAACAAUCAAAUGAUAUGAGGAAGUUCAAACGUCUUCAAGGAGUUCAAAUGCCCAUAUUCAGACGUCCCUUAUGGGUGUUCAAACGUUUGGUCUUCCCAUUUACAUGUCUAAUUGAAGGUUCAUGUAGAGUUCAAAACGGCCCAAAACAAAGGCAUGCAAGCACCCAAUAAUUAUAUAUAGCGCAUAUCACUUGCUGUAAAGAUACAAAGAAAUUAAAAAAAUGAGGGGUAAAAAACAACUUCAAAUUUAGUAUUAAUGUGUGAAAACUGACAGCAUACGGUACAAGGGGAUCAAAUUCAAACCGUACACUCAAUACUAAUACAAAACAAGUGCAAACUACAACUUUUAUUUCUUCCCCCAUUCACCAUCAACUCACUCAUACAAACACAUAAAUAUUCAAAUCAGGACAUGGAUCACCAACAUAGGUUACAUGCCAUCUGAAUAUCUGGAACACAAACGUGGAGAAUCAGAACCCGGGCCUUUUUCUCAUCACCAGUCACUUUUAUUUAUUCUCUUACAUAUACAUCCUUAAUUAAUUUUAUGCAUGCAAGCUGUUUUAUUUUUGCCCAUCUCCAUAGUCUUUGAGAUGCAGUCCACGGCCACCACCACGAGAGAAAAAAACAUGGACACCAGGCUCGUGGUUGGUGCAAGAGGCGUUCACGAGAAUGGAGUUGUUAACGGCUUGAACAUUGCUAUUCAUAAAUAUAUUCAAGAGUGGUGAUGGGGUCGCCAUUGUGUUGGAGUUGCCUUGGGGAUCGUGUUUCUUGCUGGCGGGGUUGAGCUCCAUUAUAGCUCCCUUGUUGUCUCCUGCAAUUGUUGUGAUCUUCAUGCUGUUAUCCUUAGAGUGCGCUUUCUUGUGAUUACCUUCGUGGUCUUUGCUCUCCAUGUCCUUGGUCUUCUCAAUCUUCUCGUAGUCAAGGACUCUGCUUGGAUUCACAGUGUCGCCCACAUCCUUUUGCAGUCCACCAUUGGAUGGCUUGAAUGGUGGAUUGGGCUUUUCGAUGGUCAUGGUCUUCUGCUCAAUUGGCUCAGGAGUGGAUUUUACGUAAGCAGGAGGCAGAGUUAGAGCUCAUGGGGGAGGAGAAGUUGGUUUGAUUUUCUCAGAAGGAGGUGUGGUUUUCUGACUCGGAUUAGAUGGAACCGAUGAAACAUUCCCAACCCGGAAAGGUGGAGCUGCAGUAGCAGCAGUGGGUGGUUGUGGCGGAGGCUGCUGAGGCUGGGUUGUAGGCCUAAAUGCCUGACCAAAUGUGGGUCGAAAAAUAGGACGAGGGACAGGAGGUUGAGGUUGAGCCUGAGGCUGAGCUUGUGAUGCUGCCGCAGGUGCUGGAGGUGUGGCGACUGGCCUCAUGGAACCCAGGAUGAGCCAUGGGCGAGAAGGGGGAGGCUGGUUUGCCAUAAUCCAAUAGAAUCAAUCUGAAGCAAGUAGCCCAAAUACUUAACCUGAACAAGAGAUCAAGGAAUUGGCACAGAAAAUAAGUUUCAGGAACUCGGUAUUUAUAAGUUCUGCACCCCUCAAAAAAAAUGCAAAACAUAUCUAGAACUCCAAUAGUACUAGUGCUCAAAACACAUGGGAAACUAUAUGCAGCCGGAGAGAGGAAAUAAGAACAAAAAAAAAAAGCAUCCGAUUCAGGAGAUUGCACCCUCGUAUGGGUUUCGAUCUUCUGGAUUGUUUAAGGAGAGUUGGCCUCCUUUUUGGGUUUCAUACGGAAUGUCCUCUUGAGAAUAUGGAUCACAUGCAUGUGAAUGUGAUCAAACAUCUCACCUCUUCUUCCUAUAUGGUCUAGAUGGAGUGAAUUCCUUAGCAGGAGUUGACUUAGCCCAUCAUGUCCUACAUUCAUUCAUUGCCCUGGUUACUCUCUUUGAACCAUGCAAGUACAAUGCAUAUCAUCAAUAUCCAUCCAAGGGAAAUGCAAGACUUCAUACAGCAGUUUGGAUCCACUUUAAAGCUUGAUACUGUUAGCUUAAUUUUCAAGGCCGGUAGAAGAAGGAGAUAUUCUAUUGGCUCCUUUGUAGUCUAGGAAUUUAGUGGGAUCCAGCUUGUGAUGAUACCUAAGGCCCUAGUUUUUAUAUGUUAAAAAAUAAUCAUUGAGAUCAAAUAUAAUUUUAAAAAAAAUAUUUAAAUAGAAUUCUAGAAUGUGAGCUCCUUACGUAAUUCCCACAUUGAUCUAAGUUUCAAUGAACGUGAUGUUAUAAGCAUAUGCUUAACUAAGUCAAAUUUUGAUGGAUAUAAAAUUAUGAGAAAGCUUUCUAAUUAAAUGUACAAUGUUUGAAUCUCAAAAGUAACUUUUUGUUUUUUUUUUUUGGAAUAAAGUGCUCCUUAAGCCUAUAUUGAAAAAAGAGCAAAGCUCUUAUUUUUAUUAAAAACAGAAAGUUAGAUAGAUUUUAGUAUAAUAAAAUUUUAAAAAAGAUCAAAAUUAUCUUUAUUUUUCUUACACAAAACCUAUGUUCUUAGGAAGCAAUUUUGAAAACUUAUUUAAGUUUAAAAAAAAAAAUGCUCUUAAUUUUUUGUAAAACACUUUUAAAACAUGGUUUCCAAAUCUUUUAGGAUCUUUCUUUACAAAGCCUUUCAUCCACAACAAAGAUCAUAGACUCUUUAUCUCUUAAACUUUUGAUAAAGGUUUGAAGGAUUUGCUAAUGAGCAGAGGAUAAUGUUUGCAUUAGGGAUGUGUGUUAGUGUAUUAAGCAAUUUUAAUUAAGUUAGUAAUUUUAUUUCAUUCAUCUUGUUUAGGAUUAUACGUGUUUUCCUAUAAUUUACAUUCUUUUUAAGAUUCAAUGCUACUGUAUAAUCAACUUAGGAUUAAACAAGUAUGAUUGAGUUAAUUGAGAGUAAUGACAUAAAAAAUAUAAAGUGGACUUAUGAAAAUUUGGAAUAAAAUUAAUUUGAAAAGAAUUUUAAAUUGAGAAUUUAAAAAAAAAAAUCCAAAUAAUAAAAACAAUUUGGAAGGAAGUGUUUCUAAAUCUUUUUUAACUUAAAAAGAAAAAAAAAAUUCUUAGAGUUUUAAGUUUUCUAAAUGAUUUUUUAGUAAAAUAUGAAAUCUCUUCAAAUCUUACUAAAAUUCUUAAAUUUUCUAAAUUAGUUUUUCAUAAAAAAUGAAUUUCAAAUUCACUAGGUUUUCUGUAAUAUAUACAUAUUAGGAGAGUUCUCUCAAGAGUUCAUGAACCUAAACUUGUUAAGUCAUUAUUCUUUCUGCUUAACCUAAAACUUUCAAAAAGUUUGUAAUUCAUUUUCUUGGUUUACAAGAGAGAUUUGAAUCCGCUCAAGACGUUAAGAAGUCCACUAAGGAAUAUGAUAGUACUGUUGAAUAUGAGAUUAGGUGUAACUCCUAGGGACUAACAAAUGUUAAGUAAAUUUAAUUAUAUACCUCUUCUUCAUAUUUAAUGGAUCAUAACUCAACAUUAUUUGACUUUGUGAUUUAAUUUCUACACUUAUAAAAUCUUUGGGAGGCUUUGUAGAUGGUUUUCCAUAUAAAUCGUGGUUUGUUAGUGCAAUUGAAUUUUUCCACUUCAUCUCUAAUUAUUAAAGAGGAAUUUUAAAAAUAAAAAUUUGAGCUAAAAAGAAAGAAGUUCCUAUUCAACCCCCCUUUUUCUCUCUCUAGGUAUUCUAUUAAGAAGAUCUACAAACAUUCCGUUUGGUGUUAGAACAAGGAAAAAUUUAUAAAUUAAAAUUUUCUUCUAUUCUUAUCUUUGAUCUUGUUUUCAUAGAAUUUAAAGAAAAGAAAAAAAAAAGUUUACUUUUCCCUUGUGAAAAAGAUUUCAUGAUUGAGAAAUAUUGCCUAAAAAAAAUUGAAUAAAAAAAUUUAAGAAACAAGAAUUUCCGUAUGAAUCUUUGUCCCUUGAAUAAAAAAAAAAGAACAACAUGAAGUAAUUGUUAAAUUAAAUAAACAAAAAUUAUCACUUUCGAAUAAAGUUGUCUUUAUGGAAAAAGAAAAUUAUGAGUUUCAUAAAAAUGAAAAAUUAAAGUAAAAAAUUUCAAGAAAGAAUUAUCUCAUAGAAAAAAGUUAAUCCCCAGAAAAAUAAGAAAAUCAAGAAAGCUACUUAGAGUGAUUUUAAGUUAAGUAUAAGUAAAUCAUCGAAUUUGGGUGAGAUUAAAAAUAAUCAAAAUGAUUAUCUAGUUUUCAUUGCAUCUCUUGUUUCUAAUAAUUAUGAUAGAAGUGAUAGUGAUCUUGAUGAAAAUGUCUCUAUCAUCGAGGAAUGGUGUGAAGAAUAUCAAUUGUUAUUGAAUGAAUGCAUUAAGAUAACUACUACUAAUGAAUCUCUAAAAAAUGAGAAUUGUGUGUUAAAAGAAGAGGAAGAAAAUCAUCUUGAAAAUAUUCAUUUUCUUGAUAAUGAACAUAGAUUAUAAUAUUCUAUUUCUAGAAUUUUAAAAACAAAGAAAAGAAUUUAGAAAUAAAAUUUAGAAAGAAUUAAAGCUUUAUUAUCGUCCAUCACUCUCUUCUUUUGAAAUAUUACAUAAUAUUUAAUUUAUAGAUAUUCACACUUUGAUGGUGGAAAUUUGGAUUUUUUUUAUAAUGAAAUCAAUUAUUUAAUUUCUUGUUCAUAUAAUGGAUGUCUUCUUGUUAAUUGUAACCCUUUGUUGGGAUUGAGCCAAAUAUGGACAAGAAAUUAAUUUCUAGUUCAAAGCUUGAACGAAAGUAUGGGAAGCCCAAGCCUGGCCCGAAUUCAAUAUUACAAGAAGGCUCAAGCCGUUUACAUGGCUAAUCGAAGGUUCAUGUAGAGUUUAAAUCUGCCUCAAAACAAAGGCAAGCUCCCAAUAAUUAUAUAUAGCGCAUAUCUUUUGCAGUAAAGAAACAAAGAAAUUCAAAAAAUAAGGGGGGGAAAACAGUUUCAAAUUUGGUAUUACUGUGUGAAAAAUGACUGCAUGCACUCUUAGGCUACCUCUCAUCCCUUACAAAAGGAUCAAAUUCAAACCAUACACUCAAUACUAAUACAAAUCAAAUGCAAACUACACCUUUUAUUUCUUCCCCCAUUCACCAUCAACUCACUCUUACAAACACAUAAAUAUUCGAAUCAGGACAUGGGUCACCAUCAUAGGUUACAUGCCAUCUGAAUAUCUGGAACACAAACAUGGAGAAUCAGAACCCGGGCCUUUUUCUCAUCACCAGUCACUUUUAUUUAUUCUCUUACAUAUACAUCCCUCGUAUAAUCUAAUCAUUUUGAAAAUGAAAAAGCUUAAUUAAUUUUAUGCAUGCAGUCUGUUUGAUCUCUAGUUAUUUUUCCCAUCUCCACAGUCCAUGAGAUGCAGUCCACGGCCACCACCACGAGAGAAGAAAACAUGGACACCAGGCUCGUGGUUGGUGCAAGAGGCGUUCACGAGAAUGGAGUUGUUAACGGCUUGAACAUUGCUAUUCAUAAAUAUAUUCAAGAGUGGUGAUGGGGUCGCCAUUGUGUUGGAGUUGCCUUGGGGAUCGUGUUUCUUGCUGGCGGGGUUGAGCUCCAUUAUAGCUCCCUUGUUGUCUCCUGCAAUUGUUGUGAUCUUCAUGCUGUUAUCCUUAGAGUGCGCUUUCUUGUGAUUACCUUCGUGGUCUUUGCUCUCCAUGUCCUUGGUCUUCUCAAUCUUCUCGUAGUCAAGGACGCUGCUUGGCUUCACAGUGUCGCCCACAUCCUUUUGCAGUCCACCACUGGAUGGCUUGAAUGGUGGAUUGGGCUUUUCGAUGGUCAUGGUCUUCUGCUCAAUUGGCUCAGGAGUGGAUUUUACGUAGGCAGGAAGCAGAGUUAGAGUUGAUGGGGGAGGAGAAGUUGGUUUGAUUUUCUCAGAAGGAGGUGUGGUUUUCUGACUCGGAUUAGAUGGAACCGAUGAAACAUUCCCAACCCGGAAAGGUGGAGCUGCAGUAGCAGCAGUGGGUGGUUGUGGCGGAGGCUGCUGAGGCUGGGUUGUAGGCCUAAAUGCCUGACCAAAUGUGGGUCGAAAAAUAGGACGAGGGGCAGGAGGUUGAGGUUGAGCCUGAGCCUGAGCUGGUGAUGCUGCCGCAGGUGCUGGAGGUGUGGCGACUGGCCUCAUGGAACCCAGGAUGAGCCAUGGGCGAGAAGGGGGAGGCUGGUUUGCCAUAAUCCAAUAGAAUCAAUCUGAAGCAAGUAGCCCAAAUACUUAACCUGAACAAGAGAUCAAGGAAUUGGC